Molecule: ribosomal RNA, 486 nt
Filed under: uncultured Desulfobulbus sp.
Lineage: Bacteria; Pseudomonadati; Thermodesulfobacteriota; Desulfobulbia; Desulfobulbales; Desulfobulbaceae
Description: bacterial SSU rRNA
Rfam family: Bacterial small subunit ribosomal RNA
Source: RNAcentral
CUUAAAUGAAUUGACGGGGCCCGCACAAGCGGUGGAGCAUGUGGUUAAUUCGAAGCAACGCGAAGAACCUUACCUGGUCUUGACAUCCCGGAGACCCUUAGGAAACUAGGGGGUGCUUCCAUCUGGAAGAAUCUGGAGACAGGUGCUGCAUGGCUGUCGUCAGCUCGUGUCGUGAGAUGUUGGGUUAAGUCCCGCAACGAGCGCAACCCUUGCCUUUAGUUGCCAGCAGUUCGGCUGGGCACUCUAAAGGGACUGCCGGUGUUAAACCGGAGGAAGGUGGGGAUGACGUCAAGUCCUCAUGGCCUUUAUGACCAGGGCUACACACGUACUACAAUGGCCGAUACAAAGGGCAGCGACACUGCGAGGUGAAGCCAAUCCCGUAAAAUCGGUCUCAGUCCGGAUUGGAGUCUGCAACUCGACUCCAUGAAGUUGGAAUCGCUAGUAAUCGUGGAUCAGCAUGCCACGGUGAAUACGUUCCCGGGCCUU